Molecule: ribosomal RNA, 497 nt
Filed under: uncultured bacterium
Lineage: Bacteria
Description: partial 16S ribosomal RNA
Rfam family: Bacterial small subunit ribosomal RNA
Source: RNAcentral
GAUGAACGCUGGCGGCGUGCCUAAUACAUGCAAGUCGAGCGAACAGACGAGGAGCUUGCUCCUCUGACGUUAGCGGCGGACGGGUGAGUAACACGUGGAUAACCUACCUAUAAGACUGGGAUAACUUCGGGAAACCGGAGCUAAUACCGGAUAAUAUAUUGAACCGCAUGGUUCAAUAGUGAAAGACGGUUUUGCUGUCACUUAUAGAUGGAUCCGCGCCGCAUUAGCUAGUUGGUAAGGUAACGGCUUACCAAGGCAACGAUGCGUAGCCGACCUGAGAGGGGGCCGGGCCACAGGGGAACGGAGCACGGCUCCACACCCCGACGGGGGGAGGAGGAGGGGAACCUCCCGAAUGGGGGAAAGGCCGGCAGGAGCAACCCGGGGUGAGGGAUAAAGUUCUUGGGACGUAAAAACUCUUUUAUGGGGAAAAAAAAAUUGUGAAAGAAACAAGGCCCUUUUGAAGGGAACCAAACAAAAAGCCCCGGGCAAACUCCGGC